UGGGGAAUCUUGCACAAUGGGGGAAACCCUGAUGCAGCGACGCCGCGUGAGCGAUGAAGGUUUUCGAAUCGUAAAGCUCUGUCCUAUGGGAAGAUAAUGACGGUACCAUGGGAGGAAGCCCCGGCUAACUACGUGCCAGCAGCCGCGGUAAUACGUAGGGGGCGAGCGUUGUCCGGAAUUACUGGGCGUAAAGGGUUCGCAGGCGGCAUGGCAAGUCCGAUGUAAAAGGCGAAGGCUCAACCUUCGUAAGCAUCGGAAACUGUCAAGCUUGAGUGAAGGAGAGGCAAGUGGAAUUCCUAGUGUAGCGGUGGAAUGCGUAGAUAUUAGGAGGAAUACCGGUGGCGAAGGCGACUUGCUGGACUUCAACUGACGCUGAGGAACUAAAGCGUGGGUAGCAAACAGG
This 403-nucleotide ribosomal RNA is filed under the name Fusobacteriota bacterium. RNAcentral describes it as "Fusobacteria bacterium partial 16S ribosomal RNA". It matches the Rfam family "Bacterial small subunit ribosomal RNA", at positions 355 to 776 of the family's 1533-position model. Lineage: Bacteria; Fusobacteriati; Fusobacteriota. The record is from RNAcentral.